Molecule: ribosomal RNA, 253 nt
Filed under: uncultured bacterium
Lineage: Bacteria
Description: partial 16S ribosomal RNA
Rfam family: Bacterial small subunit ribosomal RNA
Source: RNAcentral
UACGUAGGGUCCGAGCGUUGUCCGGAAUUAUUGGGCGUAAAGAGCUCGUAGGCGGUUUGUCGCGUCUGCUGUGAAAUCCCGAGGCUCAACCUCGGGCCUGCAGUGGGUACGGGCAGACUGGAGUGCGGUAGGGGAGAAUGGAAUUCCUGGUGUAGCGGUGAAAUGCGCAGAUAUCAGGAGGAACACCGGUGGCGAGGGCGGAUCUCUGGGCCUUAACUGACGCUGAGGCGCGAAAGCUAGGGGAGCGAACAGG